Odocoileus virginianus texanus is the source of this 463-nucleotide non-coding RNA. Lineage: Eukaryota; Metazoa; Chordata; Mammalia; Artiodactyla; Cervidae. The record is from RefSeq and is a predicted model, not a curated record.
CCAUCCAACCAUCUCAUCCCCUGUCGUCCCCUUCUCCUGUGGCGGUGGAGCCUGCUAGCCAGGAAACCCUAGACAUGGUGGAAACACCCACCACUCCAGUCCCCAGAAGAUGUCAUCAGUUGCGCCAGCAACACCGAAGCGCCAAUAAUUCCAAAGGCACGGCGACAAGGGGAUCAGGUGACACCUCCGACAGGUGCAUGGCGGGAGGAAAGCGCCUCCUCUCAAGAGUAACCAGUGGAAGCACAGCUCCCAACAACCUUGUAGGCCAGUUUAAACAUUCUGGGGGAAGUUUUCAGCACUGAUGUUCCAAAGUGCUCAUGCCAUCAUUGUCUAUAAUAGACAAGUCAGAUUGAUUGGCGUAACUGCUAUUGACUCUAGCCUCGGUUCUCGCAUUGAUCUGCAAACGGCCCAGAAUAGCUAAAGGAUCGCCAGCCUGGACAGGAGUUCAAGAAGGGAAGAAGUA